GACGAACGCUGGCGGCGUGCUUAACACAUGCAAGUCGAGCGGUAAGGCUCCUUCGGGAGUACACGAGCGGCGAACGGGUGAGUAACACGUGAGCAAUCUGCCCUUCACUUUGGGAUAACUUCCGGAAACGGAAGCUAAUACCGAAUACGACCAUCGCGGACAUCCGCUGAUGGUGGAAAGUUCCGGCGGUGAAGGAUGAGCUCGCGGCCUAUCAGCUUGUUGGUGGGGUAACGCCCACCAAGGCGACGACGGUAGCCGGCCUGAGAGGGUGACCGGCCACACUGGGACUGAGACACGGCCCAGACUCCUACGGGAGGCAGCAGUGGGGAAUAUUGCGCAAUGGGCGAAAGCCUGACGCAGCGACGCCGCGUGGGGAUGACGGCCU
RNAcentral lists this ribosomal RNA (385 nucleotides) under uncultured bacterium. Its description in RNAcentral is "bacterial SSU rRNA". It matches the Rfam family "Bacterial small subunit ribosomal RNA", at positions 28 to 417 of the family's 1533-position model. The record is from RNAcentral.